AAAGCCACGCAGGGGAGUCCCGCCAAGGGGACUGAGAGGCGUCAUGGUGCGGGGCAACCCGAACCGGCGGCGCGACCCUUUGAACCUGACCCAGUUGAUACUGGCGUAGGAAGCAAGGACGCGCCUUUU
Molecule: non-coding RNA, 129 nt
Filed under: Leisingera methylohalidivorans
Lineage: Bacteria; Pseudomonadati; Pseudomonadota; Alphaproteobacteria; Rhodobacterales; Roseobacteraceae
Description: TPP sequence
Rfam family: TPP riboswitch aptamer (THI element)
About the family: Vitamin B(1) in its active form thiamin pyrophosphate (TPP) is an essential coenzyme that is synthesised by coupling of pyrimidine and thiazole moieties in bacteria.
Source: RNAcentral